GCACAUCGUACCUCCAGUACGAUGUACACAUUUUUGAGUGCCUAUAUUUAUACAUUCAACUAUACGUGUGCCUCCUCUCGGGGGAGCGUACGCGUAUGCAUAGUGAUGUUUUCCCGCUUCGGUGCGCGGUAAAACAUUCAAGAUAGUCAGACGCGACGGUGGCCGGCGUGCCAGUCGUCGUCGUGGUUGAUGAGUACAUCCCAAACCGGAGUCUCAGUGGCAGUGAGCUUAGUACCCCCGUGUGUGAGUUGUGCGGUGCGGUGUCGUGGAAUUAGGCGCGUGCGCGGGAGCGCACGCGCGGCCCGGCGGGGCUUUUUCCGACGACACACAAAACACCCGCAACGACGAACCACACGGCAGGGGGGAACAGUCACCUGAACUCUCAGUGUGCUCCAUCACAUCAGCCCAGUCUAGUCGCAAGUAUA
Molecule: unclassified non-coding RNA, 425 nt
Filed under: Aedes albopictus (Asian tiger mosquito)
Lineage: Eukaryota; Metazoa; Arthropoda; Insecta; Diptera; Culicidae
Source: RNAcentral